UACGUAGGGGGCGAGCGUUGUUCGGAAUCACUGGGCGUAAAGGGCGUGUAGGCGGUCCGGUAAGUCUGAUGUGAAAGCCCGGGGCUCACCCCCGGAAGUGCAUUGGAAACUGGCGGACUCGAGUCCCGGAGAGGAGAGUGGAAUUCCUGGUGUAGCGGUGAAAUGCGUAGAUAUCAGGAGGAACACCGGUGGCGAAGGCGGCCCUCUGGGCGGAUACUGACGCUGAGGCGCGAAAGCGUGGGGAGCGAACAGG
This 253-nucleotide ribosomal RNA is filed under the name uncultured bacterium. RNAcentral describes it as "partial 16S ribosomal RNA". It matches the Rfam family "Bacterial small subunit ribosomal RNA", at positions 524 to 776 of the family's 1533-position model. The record is from RNAcentral.